GUCGAACGAUGAUCCGGUGCUUGCACCGGGGAUUAGUGGCGAACGGGUGAGUAACACGUGAGUAACCUGCCCUUAACUCUGGGAUAAGCCUGGGAAACUGGGUCUAAUACCGGAUAUGACUCCUCAUCGCAUGGUGGGGGGUGGAAAGCUUUUGUGGUUUUGGAUGGACUCGCGGCCUAUCAGCUUGUUGGUGAGGUAAUGGCUCACCAAGGCGACGACGGGUAGCCGGCCUGAGAGGGUGACCGGCCACACUGGGACUGAGACACGGCCCAGACUCCUACGGGAGGCAGCAGUGGGGAAUAUUGCACAAUGGGCGCAAGCCUGAUGCAGCGACGCCGCGUGAGGGAUGACGGCCUUCGGGUUGUAAACCUCUUUCAGUAGGGAAGAAGCGAAAGUGACGGUACCUGCAGAAGAAGCGCCGGCUAACUACGUGCCAGCAGCCGCGGUAAUACGUAGGGCGCAAGCGUUAUCCGGAAUUAUUGGGCGUAAAGAGCUCGUAGGCGGUUUGUCGCGUCUGCCGUGAAAGUCCGGGGCUCAACUCCGGAUCUGCGGUGGGUACGGGCAGACUAGAGUGAUGUAGGGGAGACUGGAAUUCCUGGUGUAGCGGUGAAAUGCGCAGAUAUCAGGAGGAACACCGAUGGCGAAGGCAGGUCUCUGGGCAUUAACUGACGCUGAGGAGCGAAAGCAUGGGGAGCGAACAGGAUUAGAUACCCUGGUAGUCCAUGCCGUAAACGUUGGGCACUAGGUGUGGGGGACAUUCCACGUUUUCCGCGCCGUAGCUAACGCAUUAAGUGCCCCGC
RNAcentral lists this ribosomal RNA (800 nucleotides) under Arthrobacter globiformis. RNAcentral's name for it is "bacterial SSU rRNA". It matches the Rfam family "Bacterial small subunit ribosomal RNA", at positions 61 to 872 of the family's 1533-position model. Lineage: Bacteria; Bacillati; Actinomycetota; Actinomycetes; Micrococcales; Micrococcaceae. The record is from RNAcentral.